GGUCUCAUAUAGGAUAGAGGAUCGUUUUGAAAGCGAUUUUAGAGCGUUCGAGUCGUUCUGAGGCUU
RNAcentral lists this transfer RNA (66 nucleotides) under Raeta sp. RNAcentral describes it as "tRNA-Ser". The record is from RNAcentral. Lineage: Eukaryota; Metazoa; Mollusca; Bivalvia; Venerida; Anatinellidae.